This 100-nucleotide non-coding RNA is filed under the name Staphylococcus massiliensis. Its description in RNAcentral is "TPP sequence". It matches the Rfam family "TPP riboswitch aptamer (THI element)". From Rfam's summary of the family: Vitamin B(1) in its active form thiamin pyrophosphate (TPP) is an essential coenzyme that is synthesised by coupling of pyrimidine and thiazole moieties in bacteria. Lineage: Bacteria; Bacillati; Bacillota; Bacilli; Caryophanales; Staphylococcaceae. The record is from RNAcentral. RNAcentral also lists the same sequence under 1 other name.
UUAACGCACUAGGGGUGUGUAAACUGAGAUGAGGCUUGUCCUCAAACCCUUUGAACCUGAUCUAGUUGAUACUAGCGUAGGAAAGUGUGCUUACAUACCU